GCCAUCCUUGGGAUACCACCCUUGUAGUACUGGGACUCUAACCAUAGGCCAUGAAUCUGGUCUUGGGACACUGUCAGGUGGGCAGUUUGACUGGGGCGGUCGCCUCCCAAAAGGUAACGGGGGCGCUCAAAGGUUCUCUCAGUACGGUCGGAAAUCGUACGUAGAGUGUAAAGGCAAAAGAGAGCUUGAUUGCAAGACAUACAGGUCGAGCAAGG
This 215-nucleotide ribosomal RNA is filed under the name Clostridioides difficile. RNAcentral describes it as "partial 23S ribosomal RNA". It matches the Rfam family "Bacterial large subunit ribosomal RNA", at positions 2185 to 2398 of the family's 2925-position model. Lineage: Bacteria; Bacillati; Bacillota; Clostridia; Peptostreptococcales; Peptostreptococcaceae. The record is from RNAcentral.